UCCCGAAUAGUGUAGUGGCAGCACACCGGAUUUUGGUUCCGGUAACCUAGGUUCGAAUCCUAGUUCGGGAG
This 71-nucleotide transfer RNA is filed under the name Herelleviridae sp. RNAcentral's name for it is "tRNA-Gln". It matches the Rfam family "tRNA". Rfam says of the family: Transfer RNA (tRNA) molecules are approximately 80 nucleotides in length. Lineage: Duplodnaviria; Heunggongvirae; Uroviricota; Caudoviricetes; Herelleviridae. The record is from RNAcentral.